GGGGGAUAGCCCGGGGAAACCCGGAUUAAUACCCCAUAGUAUCGUUUGAUGGCAUCUGAAGACGAUUAAAGAUUUAUUGGUAAUGGAUGGGCAUGCGUCUGAUUAGUUAGUUGGUGAGGUAACGGCUCACCAAGACGAUGAUCAGUAGGGGGUCUGAGAGGAUGAUCCCCCACACUGGAACUGAGACACGGUCCAGACUCCUACG
This 205-nucleotide ribosomal RNA is filed under the name Goniomonas pacifica. RNAcentral's name for it is "partial Bacterial small subunit ribosomal RNA". It matches the Rfam family "Bacterial small subunit ribosomal RNA", at positions 138 to 343 of the family's 1533-position model. The record is from RNAcentral. Lineage: Eukaryota; Cryptophyceae; Goniomonadida; Goniomonadaceae.